CUACAAGACUCUUGAGGAUAUUUCAAACCGUUGGUAAAUGAUAAAACAUAGCAGAAUAAAUGCGUGUAUUUUUAUUUGAAAACUGCUUAAAACCUUGGCAUUUUUUGACAUCCCAAAUCAUUGGAGCGAAGCAUUGUUCGAUUUGAUUUGCAUAAGCAUCGUCACAGCUGCAGUGGAGAUGCCUAUUGAUCAAUGGCCCCCCUCCCUUUUUGAGUGUGUCAAUCAAUUCGAUGGCGUUGCCCAUUCUCACACGAGAACACGCCCCAUUUUUAUUCGUGGAAAUGUUCGAUAAUCGCGUAGUUAAAAAUGAUUCAUCAAGUUAACCAACCCCAAUAAAGGAUUAAAAAUAGAAUUUCCUUGAGGUGAGAUGACAGGUGUGUAACAACUGUUAUACUACGUUUACGGUAGAGAGACCACAAGAUGCACAAGGUUGAAGGCGGGUCAAGGACGCACCUCUCCUCAACCCACUCACCUUCCUUAAAAUUCCAGACUACCUUGUAUUAGUAGUACACCCCCGCAUCAGGUAUAUACAUAAGCCCUUUUGUAUAAAUCAACUCGAGCCUAUUGAAAGAUGGCAGACGACCGGUGGCGAUCUAAAGGUAAAAAAUAAGAUAUCGAUCGGCGCUGGCUGGUGUCCCAAAUACAAUUAUUGAUCUGCGUCUCAUGAA
Molecule: long non-coding RNA, 668 nt
Organism: Daphnia pulicaria
Lineage: Eukaryota; Metazoa; Arthropoda; Branchiopoda; Diplostraca; Daphniidae
Exons: 2
Source: RefSeq, a predicted model, not a curated record